This is a long non-coding RNA of Myotis brandtii (Brandt's bat), 1070 nucleotides long. RefSeq lists it as uncharacterized. The record is from RefSeq and is a predicted model, not a curated record. Lineage: Eukaryota; Metazoa; Chordata; Mammalia; Chiroptera; Vespertilionidae. The transcript has 5 exons.
CCACCAGGCAGUGUAUUGAGCUGAGAGGUUGCGCUAGGAACCUGGGAGUCUAUAGUUACAGGCAACCCGUAGCUCUCACCAGCUGUGGUUUCCAAGCGCAUUGUGAUGUUUCAGAAAGGAAAAGGUUUGGCCUGGGUGAUUACUGCAGACCUUUGAGAUCUGAAUCCUCCACUGUUCUCCUCCUGUAGGUGGGCACCAGUUACAAACCCGAAGAGCAACGCUGUCAGCAGCCUCCUUCUUGAAGGCAAAGGCCUGCACGAGCAUAACACACACACACACACAUACAUCUGGGCAAUCCAUGUUCCUGAAAACGGGAUUAGAACAAUGGUGCUUUAUAUAGCUAAUGCCUUUACUGCAGCUGGAAUGUCCAUGACAGUGAGGGUUAGUGAAGAAGACCUAUUGCUGGAGUCCGACCGCCUCUUUGUAAUCAGCAGCCCUGCUCUGCAUUAAAGGCAUAAUGAAAAAAGAAGAAGAAGAAGAAGAAGAAAAAAGGAAAAAGCAUAUUACCUGAAACAUUGGAAGGGGCUUGUGCUCACUCUGCUGAGUUAUGGAUGGACAUAUUGAAGCGUGAUUUCCUGGAGAGAGUGUUGACUGGAAGGAAGUCUGGUGCAUUGGUUCUGGCUCUGGGCCCAGCACAAGCCCAAAGGCGGGUCCCACCCUCCCUGGACUACAGCUUCCUCAUCAGAACAGAACUCUCAAAGGCAGGUGGACCAGCCCUGCUCCAGGAAGUCACUCAGGGACCCAGGCUGGUGGAGUGGCUCUGCCAUCCUUGAAAGGUACUUUCCAGACGGCUCCAGUCAUUCCUGUUUCCAGCCAGUAAGAAGAAAGGAGGGAACACAACUGGGCUCCACUUGUGCAGGGAGAGCAUUGUUUUUCACGUGGAAUACAAUGGGCCUGGGCUACUGGCUGUACAUGGAAGGUGCUCAGAAGAUAUUCGUUGAGUGGGUAAAUGAAGGACUAGAAGUGGACGAGAUUGCUCAGUGAUGGCCUUGAUGAGUGAUAGAGUAGGGUAGACAGAAGGCCAGAGAAGAGGAGACCCUGGAGGAAACCGAGAAUGUCUAAGAAGCAGA